RNAcentral lists this unclassified non-coding RNA (2480 nucleotides) under Haliotis rufescens (red abalone). RNAcentral describes it as "organic cation transporter protein-like, transcript variant X1". The record is from RNAcentral. Lineage: Eukaryota; Metazoa; Mollusca; Gastropoda; Lepetellida; Haliotidae.
UGUAGCACACAUGGGUACAUUACCUGAAGCCCAUUUUUAACGUAUAUCGUGUAUAUUUUGUUCAGGCAUGGCAACAAGGCUAUAACGGCCUCACAUGUAACAUUAUCUGUCUUACUGAAAUGAAAAGUUAUACACUGGCUCAUGAUCACAAUCACGUAAUCGGGGCCUGGCUUAUUGCUGAGGAUUAUGACAUACUUUAUAGUAGAGAGAAACAAUACACUUCUUCAUCAUCAGUCUCGUGGUGACCUGUAAACCAUCGUGACACCUGCCAAAGAAACAUGUUACCUUGCUUGAACAGGUUCGUUUGUAAUAUAUACUUUUAUGUCAAACUAAUAUUUGAAUAAUUGUUAGUUUUAUUUUAGUAUCAAAAUGUGCAAAUUACGAUUCACGUAAAUAGUAUGCCUUCAAAACAUUAUCCAUUCAUGUAAAUAUUAUCACCAAUCAGUUAUGGUCGUUACUAUUAUGACAUUUGAUGUGGUUUUGGAGACUUUGUAUCAGCUUUGACUCGUCAAGACAAGCUGGUACAUGUUAACAACGAUUAUAAUGGAUGUUCGCUCACAGUGCUGCACCAGUGGUUCAGGAUGAAGUUUGAUGUAAUUCUUGAGGAUCACCUUGGACCAUUUGGCACUUUCCAGAAACGGAUCUUUCUUCUUCUGUGUAUGCCUGCAUUAUUUGCCGGUCUACAGUUGUUGAGCCAUGUCUUCACGCUCAAUGUACCUAAACACAGAUGUGCUCUACCCGGGAUCAGUAACGACACUUUUACCAUACAAGGACCUCACCACGAGCUUCUUCUCAACGCCACCAUCCCCUGGACUAUAGAGAAAGGGAUCAGUGUGAGGGACCCCUGUCGCAUCUUCAAAGAAAAUAGUCCGAUGGGUAAGAACAGAUCCGCCCAGGAAUGCCAUGCCUGGGUGUACGACAAGUCCAUUUUCAAGAACACUGAUGUGACAGAGCUGAACAUGGUAUGCAGCAACAGCAGCUUGAGGGCUUUGACUAACAGUAUUCUGUUUGUCGGCCUGCUCUGUGGUUCAAUCAUUUCCGGCAUCAUAUCUGACCUGUAUGGACGCAAACAUGCACUGUUGUCAGCUGUAGCGCUUCACCUUGGCUCGGGCAUAGGAACAGCAUUUUCCCCAAACUUCAUGGCUUUUGUCAUAUUCAGGUUUUUCAAUGGGGCCUCAAGCAUUGCCCUUUUGAUAUCAUCCUUUGUUUUCGUUAUGGAACUCGUUGGUCCCUCCAAACGUACAUUGGCUGGCAUUAUCAACAAGCUCUUCUGGUGUUUGGGCCUGUUCAUGGUUGGAGGUCUCGCAUACCUCAUCCCAGACUGGCACCAUCUUCAACUCGCCAUCUCUGCACCUGUUGUCCUCCUCUUUGGAUUUUACUGUUUCGUUCCCGAGUCUCCAAGAUGGCUGUUGUCAAGAGGUCGUGAGAAGGAGGCAGAGAAGAUUCUGCGACAAGCAGCACACGUGAAUGGAAGUACUCUGCCAGACGUGUUGUUUGACCAGGACACUCUUGAUAAUGGCCCACCAGCUAAGAUUACGGAGAUGUUCAAAUCACCAGUCCUACUUAUUAGAACACUCAUCAUUUUCUUCAACUGGUUUGUGAUCAUCAUGGUGUUCUACGGGCUAGCCCUGAACGUUGACGAUCUUGUCGGUGACAUCUUCCUCAACUACACCAUUGGGAACAUCGCGGAGGUCACGGCCAUCGUCCUGUGUUUGUUUCUACUGGACAAACUAGGAAGAAAAGUUCUUCAUUGUGGAAACAUGUUGUUGGGGGGCACUGCCUGCCUUGCCACCAUCGUCCCCAUAAUGUAUGGAGGUCAAGAAGACGAAUGGAUCACAGCAACCCUGGCCAUGAUUGGAAGGUUUGGAGCAACUGAUUGCAUCAUUUACAUAUUUUCUGCGGAACUGUUUCCAACGGUUGUACGAAACUCCGGAAUCGGCAGCAGCUCCUUUUCAGGACGCGUUGGUGCCAUAAUCUCCCCUCAUAUUGUAAGCCUGCAAAGCUGUCCCCCUCGCCGUGUUUGGCUCUCUGAGUGAGGUGGCGGGAAUACUCGCCCUGUGGCUGCCAGAAACGAUGCAUAAAGAGCUACCAGAAAGUAUCAACGAUGCAAAACAUUUUGGGAAUAAGAUGUCCCAUCACAUGGACCACACGGAUGAAUCUAAAGUUCAGGGUGACAACCAAACAUCCAGUGAACAAGGCUAAAUGAUGAAGAGCUGAACAAAGCUUUGUUUCAUACUCAAGUAUUUAAUAAUGUUAAUAUAUUUAAAAUGUAAUCAAUGGUUCAUCUAUAUUGUUAUAAAAGUGUGAACAAUAACACAAUUUCGAGAAACUUGCUAUAUUGUUGCUAUUUGUCCAAUUUCUGUGUGAGCACCUCAUGACAAAAUAUCUCCAUGUUAAUAUGUUUGCUUUUUUAUGAGGUAGCGAUAACAUGUUCCCAUUUUAUGGGGUUUAUUUCAAUUAAUAAAAUCAUUUAUGAUAAU